RNAcentral lists this ribosomal RNA (468 nucleotides) under uncultured bacterium. Its description in RNAcentral is "partial 16S ribosomal RNA". It matches the Rfam family "Bacterial small subunit ribosomal RNA", at positions 28 to 507 of the family's 1533-position model. The record is from RNAcentral.
GACGAACGCUGGCGGCGUGCUUAACACAUGCAAGUCGAACGGAAAGGCCCUGCUUUUGUGGGGUGCUCGAGUGGCGAACGGGUGAGUAACACGUGAGUAACCUGCCCUUGACUUUGGGAUAACUUCAGGAAACUGGUGCUAAUACCGGAUAGGAGCUCCUGCUGCAUGGUGGGGGUUGGAAAGUUUCGGCGGUUGGGGAUGGACUCGCGGCUUAUCAGCUUUUUGGUGGGGUAGUGGCUUACCAAGGCUUUGACGGGUAGCAGGCCUGAGAGGGUGAACGGGAAAAAUGGGACUGAGAUAAGGACCAGAAUGCUACGGGAGGCAGCAGUGGGGAAUAUUGCACAAUGGGAGGAAGCCUGAUGCAGAAAAGCCGCGUGCGGGAUGAAGGCCUUCGGGUUGUAAACCGAUUUCGCCUGUGACGAAGAGUGAGUGACGGUAAUGGGUAAAGAAGCACCGGCUAACUACGUG